AAGCACUUGGUUUUCAGCAAUGGCUUCUUCAGUAAUGUCCUCAGCAGCUGUUGCCACCCGCGGCAAUGGUGCACAAGCUAGCAUGGUUGCACCCUUCACUGGACUCAAGUCCACCGCUUCUUUCCCUGUUUCAAAGAAGCAAAACCUUGACAUUACCUCCAUUGCUAGCAACGGUGGAAGAGUCAGUUGCAUGCAGGUGUGGCCACCAAUUAACAUGAAGAAGUACGAGACUCUGUCGUACCUUCCUGAUUUGUCCGACGAGCAAUUGCUCAG
Molecule: unclassified non-coding RNA, 273 nt
Filed under: Hevea brasiliensis (rubber tree)
Lineage: Eukaryota; Viridiplantae; Streptophyta; Magnoliopsida; Malpighiales; Euphorbiaceae
Source: RNAcentral